GACGAACGCUGGCGGCGUGCUUAACACAUGCAAGUCGAACGGAAAGGCCUCUUUCGGGGGGUACUCGAGUGGCGAACGGGUGAGUAACACGUGAGUAACCUGCCCUUGACUUUGGGAUAACUUCAGGAAACUGGGGCUAAUACCGGAUAGGCGCUCCUGCUGCAUGGUGGGGGUUGGAAAGUUUCGGCGGUUGGGGAUGGACUCGCGGCUUAUCAGCUUGUUGGUGGGGUAGUGGCUUACCAAGGCUUUGACGGGUAGCCGGCCUGAGAGGGUGACCGGCCACAUUGGGACUGAGAUACGGCCCAGACUCCUACGGGAGGCAGCAGUGGGGAAUAUUGCACAAUGGGUGGAAGCCUGAUGCAGCAACGCCGUGUGCGGGAUGACGGCCUUCGGGUUGUAAACCGCUUUCGCUCAUGACGAAGCUUUGUGUGACGGUAGUGGGUAAAGAAGCACCAGCUAACUACGUG
Molecule: ribosomal RNA, 467 nt
Filed under: uncultured bacterium
Lineage: Bacteria
Description: partial 16S ribosomal RNA
Rfam family: Bacterial small subunit ribosomal RNA
Source: RNAcentral